This 617-nucleotide ribosomal RNA is filed under the name uncultured bacterium. Its description in RNAcentral is "bacterial SSU rRNA". It matches the Rfam family "Bacterial small subunit ribosomal RNA", at positions 55 to 687 of the family's 1533-position model. The record is from RNAcentral.
AUGCAGUCGAGCGAGAAGUUUACUUCGGUAAAUGGACAGCGGCGAAAGGGACAGUAAUGUGUAGGUACCUACCCCCCGAUCUGGGAUAGCUGCGGGAAACUGCAGGUAAUACCGGAUAAUGUCUUCGGACCAAAGGUGUGAUUCCGUCAGGGGAGGGGCCUGCAUCCUAUUAGCUUGUUGGUGAGGUAAUGGCUCACCAAGGCAACGAUGGGUAGCGGGUGUGAGAGCAUGACCCGCGUCAUUGGGACUGAGACACUGCCCAGACAUCUACGGAUGGCUGCAGUCGAGAAUCUUCGGCAAUGGGCGAAAGCCUGACCGAGCGACGCCGCGUGCGGGAUGAAGGCCCUCGGGUUGUAAACCGCUGUCGUUGGGGAGGAAAUGCAAAAGGGUUAUCCCUUCUGUUUGACCGAUCCAAGGAGGAAGUACGGGCUAAGUUCGUGCCAGCAGCCGCGGUAAGACGAACCGUACGAACGUUAUUCGGAAUUACUGGGCUUAAAGGGUGCGUAGGCUGCACGGAAAGUUGGGUGUGAAAGCCCUCAGCUCAACUGAGGAAUUGCAUCCAAAACUGCCGUGCUCGAGGGAGACAGAGGUGAGCGGAACUCAAGGAGCGGUGAAAU